Molecule: ribosomal RNA, 494 nt
Filed under: uncultured bacterium
Lineage: Bacteria
Description: partial 16S ribosomal RNA
Rfam family: Bacterial small subunit ribosomal RNA
Source: RNAcentral
GACGAACGCUGGCGGCGUGCUUAACACAUGCAAGUCGAACGGUGAAGCGCCUUCCUUUUUGGUGGGUGUGGAUGAGUGGCGAACGGGUGAGUAACACGUGAGUAACCUGCCCCCUUCUUCUGGAUAACCGCAUGAAAGUGUGGCUAAUACGGGAUAUUCUGUGUCUGUCGCAUGAUGGGUCUGGGAAAGAUAUUGUUUCGGUGGGGGAUGGGCUCGCGGCCUAUCAGCUUGUUGGUGUGGUGAUGGCCUACCAAAGCGGUGACGGGGAGACGGCUUGAGAGGGUGAACGGGUUCAUGGGGACUACGAAACGGACCAUACUCAGAUGGGAGGCAGAAGUGGGGAAUAGGGGACAAUGGGGGCAAGCCUGAUGCAGCGACGCCGGGUGAGGGAUGGAGGCCUGCGGGUUGUGAACUUCUUUCGCGAGUGAAGCAGGCCUGCCUCGUUUGUGGGUGGGUUGACGGUAGCUGGAGAAGAAGCUCCGGCUAACUACGUG